Molecule: ribosomal RNA, 410 nt
Filed under: uncultured bacterium
Lineage: Bacteria
Description: bacterial SSU rRNA
Rfam family: Bacterial small subunit ribosomal RNA
Source: RNAcentral
AAUCAACGCUGGCGGCGUGCCUCAGACAUGCAAGUCGAACGAUUAAAGCUCUCUUCGGAGAGUGUAUAGAGUGGCGCACGGGUGAGUAACACGUAAGUAAUCUACCUUUGAGUGGGGAAUAACAGUCGGAAACGGCUGCUAAUACCGCAUAACGCAGCGGCACCGCAAGGUGACAGUUGUUAAAGGAGCAAUCCGCUUAAAGAGGAGCUUGCGGCAGAUUAGCUUGUUGGUAAGGUAACGGCUUACCAAGGCUACGAUCUGUAUCCGGUCUAAGAGGACGGUCGGACACACUGACACUGAAUAACGGGUCAGACUCCUACGGGAGGCAGCAGUCGGGAAUUUUGGGCAAUGGGCGAAAGCCUGACCCAGCAACGCCGCGUGAAGGAUGAAGUAUUUCGGUAUGUAAACUU